RNAcentral lists this ribosomal RNA (424 nucleotides) under uncultured bacterium. RNAcentral's name for it is "bacterial SSU rRNA". It matches the Rfam family "Bacterial small subunit ribosomal RNA", at positions 355 to 775 of the family's 1533-position model. The record is from RNAcentral.
UGAGGAAUAUUGGUCAAUGGGCGCAAGCCUGAACCAGCCAUCCCGCGUGCAGGAAGACGGCGCUAUGCGUUGUAAACUGCUUUUCCAGGGAGAGAAACUUGCGCACGUGUUGCGCAAUUGACGGUACCCUGGGAAUAAGCAUCGGCCAACUCCGUGCCAGCAGCCGCGGUAAUACGGAGGAUGCGAGCGUUAUCCGGAUUCAUUGGGUUUAAAGGGUGCGUAGGCGGACUAUUAAGUCAGUGGUGAAGUCCUGCAGCUUAACUGCAGAACUGCCGUUGAUACUGAUAGGCUUGAGUAUGGUUAAGGUAGGCGGAAUGUGUAAUGUAGCGGUGAAAUGCUUAGGUAUUACACAGAACACCAAUUGCGUAGGCAGCUUACUGAGCCGACACUGACGCUGAGGCACGAAAGCGUGGGGAUCGAACAG